This 473-nucleotide ribosomal RNA is filed under the name uncultured organism. Its description in RNAcentral is "partial 16S ribosomal RNA". It matches the Rfam family "Bacterial small subunit ribosomal RNA", at positions 335 to 799 of the family's 1533-position model. The record is from RNAcentral.
ACUCCUGCGGGAGGCAGCAGUGGGGAAUAUUGGACAAUGGGCGCAAGCCUGAUCCAGCCAUGCCGCGUGUGUGAAGAAGGCCUUCGGGUUGUAAAGCACUUUUGUCCGGAAAGAAAUCCUUGGCUCUAAUACAGUCGGGGGAUGACGGUACCGGAAGAAUAAGCACCGGCUAACUACGUGCCAGCAGCCGCGGUAAUACGUAGGGUGCGAGCGUUAAUCGGAAUUACUGGGCGUAAAGCGUGCGCAGGCGGUUUGCUAAGACCGAUGUGAAAUCCCCGGGCUCAACCUGGGAACUGCAUUGGUGACUGGCAGGCUAGAGUAUGGCAGAGGGGGGUAGAAUUCCACGUGUAGCAGUGAAAUGCGUAGAGAUGUGGAGGAAUACCGAUGGCGAAGGCAGCCCCCUGGGCCAAUACUGACGCUCAUGCACGAAAGCGUGGGGAGCAAACAGGAUUAGAUACCCCGGUAGUCCCAUG